UAAGUUUGCAGCGGGCAGAGGGGAGGCAGGAACUGGAGAGGACGCGAGUGGCGGGUGGCGGGGGCGGUGUGUAGGGGUGACGUCCACCCGGCAGAGAGGGUUCCUUGUCCCCUGGAGCCGAACACAGGAAAAUCAGCUGGAAGCCAUGGAAAUAAAUAAGGAGCUGUUGAAGUUGCCAGCUCCCUGGAGUAACUGUGUAAACCUCCGGUCUUCUAUUCUCAUGGCCAAUAGUGCUUCCACUGGUCAAAACUCAAGCCUCAAGAUAAAGCAUGUAAAUAGCUUAAGAAGAGCAGUGCUGGUGCCUGGGGGAGAGGAGCCAGUCAGGACCUUCAGCUUCCCAGGGAAACUUGGAUUGAGUAGAAUGUAGCAAUCUCACUUUGCAGCGUGUCCUUCAGCAAGUCACUUACUCUCUCUGUACUCCAACUUCGUCCUCUGAAAAAUUAAAGAAUCCAACUGGAUCAUCUCCAAGAUCCUUUCCAAUUGAGAAAUUCCAUCACCUGUGAUGAUUUUUCUGUACAAUGCAAUUUGGGAAGGACACUAGCAUUUAUGGAACCACUGAUAUGUGCCAG
Molecule: long non-coding RNA, 569 nt
Filed under: Homo sapiens (human)
Lineage: Eukaryota; Metazoa; Chordata; Mammalia; Primates; Hominidae
Description: non-protein coding lnc-NAV1-1:3
Source: RNAcentral